UGUUUUGUUGACCUUCAUCUCAUGAUCUUCGUUUGUUUUAUUCCCUGAUAUUCUGAUUAGUUUGGUUAGGCGUUUAUGCUAUUAAGUGUUUGAUUUUCAUAGUAAUUUUUGAUCUUCAGUACUGGCAUAGUUCAAGCUGAUUUGUUUGGUUGAAUCUUUAAUUGCUUUCUAAUAUUUCAAUCCAUGUUCCAAGCUUUAUUUGAGUGAUUUAAUUAGGAUUUUCUUGUAAUGAGUAGUAGUUGAUUGGUUUUCUGGUUGAUAGUGAUCCAUUGGUCUUAAUACAAAGACAUCUGAAUGUUUGUGAUCCUAAGUUAUAAUAACUGAUAAGCCAAUCCAUAUUAGGACACUUAGUGGUAUGGAUCCAAUGGACAUGUUAAUCUAAAACUAAACCUUGGCCCAUAAACCAAAUACAAUCGACCAGGGUCAAGGAAUAACUGAGGUUAAAACCUCAGGUUAACCUGUUAAUCCAAACCAAACCUUGGCCCAUAACCCAAACACAAUCGGCCAGGGUCAAGGAAUAACUGAGGUUAAAACCUCAGGUUGGUUAUUUAGGAAAAGAAAUAGGGGUAUAAGAGGGAUUUGAACUUUAAAAAUCUGACAGUAAUCCCCUAGAACAUUCUAGUGAGG
This 627-nucleotide long non-coding RNA is filed under the name Nicotiana benthamiana. RNAcentral's name for it is "long non-coding RNA (NBEN_LNC004675)". The record is from RNAcentral. Lineage: Eukaryota; Viridiplantae; Streptophyta; Magnoliopsida; Solanales; Solanaceae.